CGGAGCGUAGCGCAGUCCGGUUAGCGUGCAUGGUUCGGGACCAUGAGGUCGGAGGUUCAAAUCCUCUCGCUCCGA
This 75-nucleotide transfer RNA is filed under the name Chitinispirillales bacterium. Its description in RNAcentral is "tRNA-Pro". It matches the Rfam family "tRNA". Rfam says of the family: Transfer RNA (tRNA) molecules are approximately 80 nucleotides in length. Lineage: Bacteria; Pseudomonadati; Fibrobacterota; Chitinispirillia; Chitinispirillales. The record is from RNAcentral.